GAUGAACGCUAGCUACAGGCUUAACACAUGCAAGUCGAGGGGAAACGACAUCGAAAGCUUGCUUUUGAUGGGCGUCGACCGGCGCACGGGUGAGUAACGCGUAUCCAACCUGCCCAUCACUUGGGAAUAACCUUGCGAAAGUAAGACUAAUACCCAAUGAUAUCCCACGAAGGCAUCGGAAUGGGAUUAAAGAUUUAUCGGUGAUGGAUGGGGAUGCGUCUGAUUAGCUUGUUGGCGGGGUAACGGCCUACCAAGGCAACGAUCAGUAGGGGUUCUGAGAGGAAGGUCCCCCACAUUGGAACUGAGACACGGUCCAAACUCCUACGGGAGGCAGCAGUGAGGAAUAUUGGUCAAUGGGCGAGAGCCUGAACCAGCCAAGUAGCGUGCAGGAAGACGGCCCUAUGGGUUGUAAACUGCUUUUAGAAGGGAAUAAAGUGGGUCACGUGUGACUUUUUGCAUGUACCUUAUGAAUAAGGACCGGCUAAUUCCGUG
Molecule: ribosomal RNA, 492 nt
Filed under: uncultured bacterium
Lineage: Bacteria
Description: partial 16S ribosomal RNA
Rfam family: Bacterial small subunit ribosomal RNA
Source: RNAcentral